GGUAGCGUUGCCGAGGGGUCUAAGGCGCUGGAUUUAGGCUCAGUCUCUUCGGGGGCAUGGGUUCGUAUCCCAUCGCUGCCA
This 81-nucleotide transfer RNA is filed under the name Danio rerio (zebrafish). It matches the Rfam family "tRNA". From Rfam's summary of the family: Transfer RNA (tRNA) molecules are approximately 80 nucleotides in length. Their secondary structure includes four short double-helical elements and three loops (D, anti-codon, and T loops). The record is from Rfam by way of RNAcentral. Lineage: Eukaryota; Metazoa; Chordata; Actinopteri; Cypriniformes; Danionidae.